This 188-nucleotide unclassified non-coding RNA is filed under the name uncultured fungus. RNAcentral describes it as "sequence contains ITS1". Lineage: Eukaryota; Fungi. The record is from RNAcentral.
UUUAACGUUAGGCCCAGGCUCAGAACAGUAGGCAGGUGACAUGGUCUGGUGGUGCCCCGGCGGGCGCCGCCGGCGGCGGCCGCGGACCCCGCCCUGGGGCCGCCCGCCGAGGCAACUCCGAGUAGCGUCCACAGUGGUCGGCGGUUGUACCGUCCGUAAUGAUCCCUCCGCUGGUUCACCAACGGAGA